AGGAAGCAGUUCCAGAUGUAGUACCAAAGAACUCAUCCUCGAGCAAUCUCUCAGGGCAAGGAGAGAGCCAGCCCUGUGCAGACGUAGAAAGUUAAAGGCACAUUGUGAGCAAGCAGGUGAUUACAGUCAGUCUCAGUGUCAAAGCAACUGAAUGCUGCCCUGGGGAGCUGUAUUUUACCCCUGGCAGAACUGUAAAAUUCCUUAUUUCAGUUCUGCAAUUACACACGUUUCAAAAGUGUGUUUUCAUUUCAAAGCACAGUGAAAUGAAUUGGAAACACUAAUUUUUUCCAUGGGCCACAAAUCCUGGAUUUUGGCCAGCUCCAAUUGUGAAUUCCUUCUUGUGAAGCAUUUGGUUGUUCUGGGAUAAGCACGGUAGACAGUCUAUGAGAAGCUUAAUAAUUCUGCAUUUGGAGCUCGGUUUCAAUAACACUUGAUAAGUACAGGAUGAACAGUGAGGAAAUACAAAAUAUUUAUUAGCUGCUGAAUAUGUAAGCAUUGUGCAUCUAGUGCACUGAAAGCUGCAAGAUAACAUGGAAAAGAGUAUGUGUAGUCAUGUUGUAUUAUCAUGCAUAUUUAAAGAGUGGAAUUAAAGUUGCACAGAAAAUUUUAA
This is a long non-coding RNA of Rhea pennata, 610 nucleotides long. RefSeq lists it as uncharacterized. NCBI's taxonomy places the organism in Eukaryota, Metazoa, Chordata, Aves, Rheiformes, Rheidae. The transcript is spliced from 2 exons. The record is from RefSeq and is a predicted model, not a curated record.